AUCCAUCCUUACUCUGUAACCUGUAAACUGCAGCUUUUGUCUGCCCUGCUGGCUUCCACUUCUCUUUAGCCUGCUCUCCAAACCAGUCUCCUUUAGUGAGCGUCUUCACGAUCACCUGCUCGUCCCCAGGCGCCCCUAGCAUUCGCCCAUGCUGCCUUUGCCACGGGCCGGCCGUGCAUGCAUCAGGAAAACGUUCCAGGGGCGGGAGUGAGACGGGAAGAAACUCGUACGAAGAGUCCAGGGUCAGACCUUGAUUCGUUCUUGCAUGUGAUGGAAGAACUGACUUGAUUUCUUUAGUGCUUCUAAAGGUUUUCUCUCUUUCUCUUUCACUCACUGGGAUGACAUUGAACGCAACAAGGACAGUCGCUGAGGCAGGCACACAGAGGAGAGAAAAGAGCUCCACAGAUCAAGCGGCAUCGAGGAAGACUUUUGGACGAAUGGGAAUUUAUUAAUCAGAACAGAGAACUACACUGUGCAGGGGUGAUGUCUGUGGCCAGCCCCCAGUUUCCAUUAGUUAUU
Perca fluviatilis (European perch) is the source of this 519-nucleotide long non-coding RNA. RefSeq lists it as uncharacterized. The record is from RefSeq and is a predicted model, not a curated record. Lineage: Eukaryota; Metazoa; Chordata; Actinopteri; Perciformes; Percidae. The transcript is spliced from 4 exons.